GCAAGGCUUGAAUGGCGUCGGGGUUGGAGGGUUGGAAGGUCGGGAAGUGAAGGACUCGCAGGCAUAUUUAACAACGCAAAGUUGCUAGGAGUUGGUACCAGCGUUUGGGAGGUAGAGGUGGCGCUCAUGCAUAUUUGAGACAACAUCUGGAUGGUUGGGGAGAACGGUGAUGCCACACUCAAUCAGAAACUAUGCUACUGCUGAAGAGGUAUAUUGAGCCCUGCCUGGUUAACCUCCAGUGAGGUUAUUAGAGAAUUGGGAGAGGCUCAAAUCAGCAUCCUGCACCUAGUUAUCAAACCAUUGUGAAGUCUUGAUUCCUGGAUGGCCAGAAAACUUGUCAUUGGUCAAGAGCAACAUUAAGAUCUGCCUGUUACUCAUACUGAUGCUUCCUGCCCAGCAAGUUCAUCAGAGGGCGAGGAUGAAUUACGGUUGCCAUGAAUGUCCUUGUGAGGCAGUUGGGAAGCCUUGGCUGGAUUGUGAAGGAUAUUUGAAAAGUAUUUUAGAGUCCACCAGAUCAUCCAUGUGAGUGACCAUGCAGCAAAAGAAGGAGGGUCCUCUCAGUGAUUAAGGAUUAUGAAGUAUUAAUUCUUCCACUGAUAUCUCAAAAGGUGAUCUGGACAAAGGAACAGGUAUCUCAGAACAGUGGUUGGUAGGAUGGCGGAGACAUGGACUUCAGAGAGUUCUUGGUAGAAGACUCAAAGAGCCACCUGUCAUGAGACAUCCCACUUCCUUCCCCAGGUUACUUCCAAGACUGAGCAGCCAGGUUUUUGGUAGAUGAGAACAAAUGUUUCUUCCUGAAGCCCUGGGGCUUCAGGUAGGAAGAAGGACUGCUAUACUUGUUCUCACCCUUGGCUUCUGGCUGCUCCAGUUAAACAUGGUUCCCAUUGAUACAGACAUUAGAGUGGGAAAGGACUUCGUUCAUAGACCGAAGACCCUCAAAGGAAAGUCCUUCCAUUUUGGGAAGGGUGACAUUGAUUUCGUUUAGCUGCUUAAGAUAUGUACUUGCUGUUGUCUUGUGAGACAUGACAUCUGAAGCUGAAGAGGAGUCCCUCUCAUUGUUGUCAUUGUCCCACCGGGACUGAAAGUCUCCCAGUUGAGGCAGCAUUUUAGCUUUGAUGUCUACAGGGCAAUCAUGGAUCAGGAAAUUUCUGCAAAUUAGACUUGGAAAACAAGGUCUUGAUCCUUCUUGUCUUUGGACGAAGACUAAUCAUCACUUUUGACUGAAGGUGUAGUGCUGGAGACUAUGUUGGAGGCAGCACCUGAUGCACUAUCCAUAUUCUUCCCCUUGAUCUUGUCUUAAAGUUUUCCAAAUGGAUUCCGAGGCUUGUCUUUGAUGAAAAGGUCAAACAUACUGGCAGUCAUGUUGUUUCUCAUAAGCUGGAUGUCAACCUCAAUUUCUCCUCUUUAUCCUUCUCUCCUGGUUUGGAUUUCAAGGUAUACCACCGCAUCUUCCUGCUCCCCUAGUCUGGGUGCAGGUCCUGCAGGUACACCUCGGCGAAGCCCAAGUACAGUAGCAGCAGCACCUCAAAGGUGGCCUCCUCCUCUGACACUGAGGUGGCAUACUUCUCCUUACCCACCUGAAUCACCGAGUACAUGUUGCUUGUACCGUCAGGCUCUUGGUUCUUGGCCCCUGGCCCUAUGCCUGCAACACUGUCACCUGCACGUGGAUUGGGAACCACAUAGCCCCCGGACCUGCUAAGGCCAUUAAGGACAGGAUGGUGAUGCCUCGGCUGACUGACGUGAGAAGAUUGUCAUGACCCAUGGCCUCUACUGCUGUCCUACCAACAGAAACUUCAUAAUGUUGUGCAGGCGUUACCACUACCUAGUUCCAGAACAUUGCCAUCACCCCCAAAAUAAAUCUUGCAUUCAUUAAGCAGUCACCCCUAUUUUCCCCCAUCCCUGUCAACCACUGAUUUAUGUUCUGUCUCUAUGGAUUCCCCUGUUCCGGAUAAUUCACGUAAAUGGAAUAACACAAUAGAUGCCUUUUAUCAUGGGUUUCUUUCACUUAGGAUGUUUUGUAGGGUAAUCCAUAUAGCAUGUAUCAGGACUUCAUUUUUUUUUUUUUUUUUUUUGAGAUGGAGUUUCAUUCUUCUUGCCCAGGCUGGAGUGCAGUGGUGCAGUCUCAGCUCACUUCAACCUCUGCCUUCUAGGUUCAAGCGAUUCUCCUGUCUUGGCUUCCCAAGUAGCCAGGAUUACAGGCGCCUGGCACCAUGCCCAGCUACUUUUUUUGUAUUUUUAGUAGAGACAGGGUUUCACCAUGUUGGCCAGGCUGGUCUCAAACUCCUGACCUCAGGUGAUCCGCCUGCCUCAGCCUCCCAACGUGCUGGGAUUACAGGCGUGAGCCACCAUGGUCAGCCUUCAUUCAUUUUCAUGGAGAAAAAUAUUUCAUUGUAUGAGUAUACCACAUUUUGUUUAUCCAUUUAUCCAUUGAUUGGUUGUUUCUACUUUUUUUUAGCUAUUAUGAAUAAUAUUGCUGUGAACAUUUGUGUACAAGGUUUUAGUGGACACAAGUUUUUAUUUUUCUUGGGUAUAUAUCUAGGAGUGGAAUUGCUGGGUCAUAUUGUAAUUCUGUUCAACUUUUUGAAGAACUUCCCAACUGUUCUCCAUGGUGGCUGUGCCAUUGUAUAUUCCUACCAGCAGUGUAUGAAGUUACAAAUUUCUCCACAUCCUGAGAACCCCUUUAUUAUUUUCUGUUUUUCUUUUUGAUUAUAGCCAUCCUAGUAGGUGUAAAGUGGUAUCUCAUUGUGAUUUUAUUUUGCAUUUCCCUAAAUGAUUAAUGAUAUUGAGCAUCUUUUCAUGUGCUUCUUGGCCACUAGUAUAUCUUCUUUGAAGAAAUGUCUAUUCAAGUCUUUGGCAGUUUCUAAAUGAGUUAUUGUCUUUUUGUUGUUAGGUUGUAAGAGUUAUAAUCUGGAUAACAGAUCCUUAUUAGAUAUGUAAUUUGCACAUAUUUUCUCCCAUUUUGUGGGUUGUCUUUUGUCUUUUUUAUUUUUUAUUGCUUGUGUUUUGGUAUCAUUAUUGAUAAUUCAUUGUUAAAUUAAAGGUCAUGAAGAGUUA
This 3054-nucleotide long non-coding RNA is filed under the name Homo sapiens (human). RNAcentral's name for it is "FTX transcript, XIST regulator". Lineage: Eukaryota; Metazoa; Chordata; Mammalia; Primates; Hominidae. The record is from RNAcentral.